Molecule: ribosomal RNA, 442 nt
Filed under: uncultured bacterium
Lineage: Bacteria
Description: partial 16S ribosomal RNA
Rfam family: Bacterial small subunit ribosomal RNA
Source: RNAcentral
CCUACGGGUGGCAGCAGUGGGGAAUUUUCCGCAAUGGGCGAAAGCCUGACGGAGCAAUGCCGCGUGAAGGUAGAAGGCCUACGGGUCAUGAACUUCUUUUCCCGGAGAAGAAGCAAUGACGGUAUCCGGGGAAUAAGCAUCGGCUAACUCUGUACCAGCGGCCGCGGUAAGACAGAGGAUGCAACCGUUAUCCGGAAUGAUUGGGCGGAAAGCGUCUGUAGGUGGCUUUUUAAGUUCGCCGUCAAAUCCCAGGGCUCAACCCUGGACAGGCAGUGGAAACUGCCAAGCUGGAGUACGGUAGAGGGAGAUGGAAUUGCAGGUGGAGCGGUGAAAUGCGUAGAGAUCGGAAAGAACACCAGCGGCGAAAGCAGUCCGCUGGGCGGAGACUGACGCUGAGGGACGAAAGCUAGGGGAGCGAAUGGGAUUAGAUACCCCAGUAGUC